Molecule: RNA transcript, 1774 nt
Organism: Hordeum vulgare subsp. vulgare (domesticated barley)
Lineage: Eukaryota; Viridiplantae; Streptophyta; Magnoliopsida; Poales; Poaceae
Exons: 4
Source: RefSeq, a predicted model, not a curated record
AUACAAUUACAUAAGUUUAAUUGUCAUUGGUUGAAAUGUUUGUGGCAUGGAUCAAUGACAUGGCACACAUCCAUCCAUCCAUCCAUCCAUCCACAUCCACCAACCGCGAAACCUAAUUUGUGUGGCGCUCGAUGCGCACAGAGAGAGGGAGAGGUUCCUCCGUCCCCUUCCAGAUAUCCGCCGCCACCUCCCUCCCACCUCCUGGAUCUCUCCAUCUCCAUCAGCUCCACCCGCGCGAUCCCAUCUGCCACCCGGGCUUGCACAGCCUGCGCUCCCUGUUGCGCUCCCUGCUGGCCCUCCUCCCGAGGUGGAGAUGGCCGCCGGCGGAGGUGGAGAUGGCCGACGGCGGCGAGGUCGUCCACACGCCCCACUCGGCGCCGCCUACGGUGCCGUCGGCGCAGGUGUCGAUCUGGGAGUCGGUGCGCGCGUGCGGGGUGUGGGGGCGGGAGGUCGACAAGGCCGACCUGCGGCGCCGCGUCGUCAUGCCGCUCUACGCGCACCGGGCCAUGGCCGUCGCCGUCGCCGAGAAGGAUGAGGCCGCGGGCGUGGCCGACACGGCCGCUGCCAGGGAGGAGAAGGUGGAGGAGGCGGAGGAGGAUGGGUGAGCGAAAUCCAUCACGGCAGCUCACCGCCCGCAACCGCAGAUCGAAUCAAUCAGCGCACGGUCUCUCCACCCGCCACGCCACCAAACUGCCGCGAUGCCGCUCGCCUCCGCCCGGCCGACGCCGUCGGAGCAGGGCCCGAGCGCCUCCCCCUCCUCCGCCCCGGCGGCGGACUCCUCCGUCGCGGCCCUCAUCGGCGGCGAGGUGGUGACGCCGAUGGUCGUGUUCGUCAACUCCAAGAGCGGCGGCCGACACGGGCCCGGGCUCAAGGUUCGGCUCCACGAGCUCAUCAGCAAGGAGCAGGUGACGACCUGCACGCUCCAAGUAGCUCGGUAGAUUUCAUACAUGCACCAAGUAGUUUACUAUGCAGAUAAUUUACUUUUUGAAGGAAAGGGAUUGCUCCACCUAUUUUCAUUAGGGAAACUAGCCAACUACAGAGACAGUAUAUCCUAUCUAGGUCUCUCUAUUUUCUUCUUACGUAGCUUUUAGUCUGUAUUUCCUUGAUAGAUGAAACUAUGGAGCGAAACAUGAGUUGUACUGUCAACUGAUGGCUGACUUCAGUUUGAAGUAGAUCAGGUGGCUGCCGCCACUUCCUGCACCUAAUCAACAUAAGAAAAACCAAAGCCCGAGGCAAGAAAGAGAAAGUGUGACGGUGAAGAAAUCAAGGAUCAUGCCCACUCAGGACAGUAGUGGAUAAUGCAGAGCUCUCAAACCUCAUUCACUGGAGAAAGAACUGUGUGGCCAGCGAUCCAUAAACAGCAGGACUUCAAUGUCAUCAUGAAAGACUUGGCAGAGAACAAGAUCAACCUUAUUCUAAGGACCCAGCUAACAAUAAAUGUAUGAUGAUAGCUUCAAAGAAUCACGGAUGCACGUAUGACUUAGCUGGGAAUAUACAUCUGCAUACCUCGCUUCUGUGUGUUACAUCUAGGUAUAGUUGCAUGUACAUUAAGAGUACAAGGUGCGUUGAUGACCAUCAAAUUCUAAGGACAAAUCCAAUGGUGGUGUGGACGUCCUUGUAGAUCAGCUCCGACUAUAAAGUUAGAAGAAGCUUUACUUCAUGUUGGAACAAAAUGGAAGUUCCCUGUGAUGUGAUGAUGUUUAUUAUGUUAUAGAUUGUAAGUUGAUGGUAUAUUGACUAUUGCUAGUUAUUAUAUGCCCUGUUAAUUUGCUAA